AUUGAACGCUGGCGGCAGGCUUAACACAUGCAAGUCGAGCGGGGAGAUGUAGCUUGCUACAUUUCCUAGCGGCGGACGGGUGAGUAAUGCUUAGGAAUCUGCCUAUUAGUGGGGGACAACAUUCCGAAAGGAAUGCUAAUACCGCAUACGCCCUACGGGGGAAAGCAGGGGAUCUUCGGACCUUGCGCUAAUAGAUGAGCCUAAGUCAGAUUAGCUAGUUGGUGGGGUAAAGGCCUACCAAGGCGACGAUCUGUGGCGGGUCUGAGAGGAUGAUCCGCCACACUGGGACUGAGACACGGCCCAGACUCCUACGGGAGGCAGCAGUGGGGAAUAUUGGACAAUGGGCGAAAGCCUGAUCCAGCCAUGCCGCGUGUGUGAAGAAGGCCUUUUGGUUGUAAAGCACUUUAAGCGAGGAGGAGGCUACUUGGAUUAAUACUCUAGGAUAGUGGACGUUACUCGCAGAAUAAGCACCGGCUAACUCUGUGCCAGCAGCCGCCGUAA
RNAcentral lists this ribosomal RNA (501 nucleotides) under uncultured bacterium. Its description in RNAcentral is "partial 16S ribosomal RNA". It matches the Rfam family "Bacterial small subunit ribosomal RNA", at positions 30 to 523 of the family's 1533-position model. The record is from RNAcentral.